Molecule: ribosomal RNA, 254 nt
Filed under: uncultured bacterium
Lineage: Bacteria
Description: partial 16S ribosomal RNA
Rfam family: Bacterial small subunit ribosomal RNA
Source: RNAcentral
UACGAAGGGGGCUGGCGUUGUUCGGAAUUACUGGGCGUAAAGCGCGUGUAGGCGGGUCUUUUAAGUCAGGGGUGAAAUGCCAAGGCUCAACCUUGGAACUGCCUUUGAUACUGGAGAUCUUGAGUCCGGGAGAGGUGAGUGGAACUGCGAGUGUAGAGGUGAAAUUCGUAGAUAUUCGCAAGAACACCAGUGGCGAAGGCGGCUCACUGGCCCGGAACUGACGCUGAGACGCGAAAGCGUGGGGAGCAAACAGG